CUUCACACCCCCAGAGGAACCAGCUCCUCUCCUCCCCCUCCUGCUCCUCUUCUUCCUCUUUUUCAUCAUGCUUGUGGGAGAGUCUGCAGUGACCGCUGCACCACAACCUUUGUCUGGGGCAGAGGGGAGAACAAGGAGGUUGAAAUGCUGUCCCGCUGGUGCCCAGCCAUGCUUACGUGCGGCACAGGCCCCGUCGACUUGCUUGGCAGGCAGGAAGCCGGCGAGCAGGGGAGUCGGGGCACCUGCUGUGCUUCCUCCUCACCUCCCUCCGCCGUUUCCCUGGGCCAGGGCGAAAAGCAGGUGAACAAGAAGGGUGCAAAGAGGAAGAGGAGGAGCCUGCCCAGGUGGAGUGGAUGCUGGAUGAGUGCCCCUGCCAUGCACCUCGGAGUACAUAGGUGUUCAGAGGGAAGAGAGAGAUACCACAACUCCUGCCAAAUGCCCUUCCGGGAGCAACGGUGGAGAGGCCAUCAGGAAUAUGUGGCACCACCGCUGGAUAAUCUGCAUGGAUCUGCAGAGGUACAUCUUGCAGACAGGCAGGUGCCAGGUUGCUACGCCAUUCCUCACAAGCAGCAAAACCUUAAAUCCGGCCCGGGAGCAGCGGGCGCGCUUCCUUUGGCUGGGGGGCGUCUUGCUGCCGGGGCUGUGGCAUUCGCAGCAUCUGCAGGACCUUCAGGGCAGCCCCAUACAACAUGCGUUGCAAGAGGGUUACCAGCGCUCAAAGCACCUUGGCCAAACUAUCGCAGUCCAAGAGCAGCCCUGUCAGUGUCCCGGCGAAAGCUGGCGAAAGCCUGCGUCAACGAGUCACCUCGGCCCUCUGGUGACAAAGACGGAUCCGAAUCUACGCUCUCGGGUGGCAGAAAUCUGCCUCUGCGCGCAAAAUCUGAGAAAGGGACGCGGCGGCCACCAGGGCCCUUUUGUCGGAAAGCCUUGGCACGGCAGAGGCCAGAUACCACCCCCCACCACGGGGGUGGCCAAGUGUGACCUUCACGGCCUCGUCCGCC
Molecule: long non-coding RNA, 1001 nt
Filed under: Varanus komodoensis (Komodo dragon)
Lineage: Eukaryota; Metazoa; Chordata; Lepidosauria; Squamata; Varanidae
Description: lncRNA (ENSVKKG00000005580.1)
Source: RNAcentral